RNAcentral lists this ribosomal RNA (76 nucleotides) under Tetzosporium hominis. RNAcentral's name for it is "partial 23S ribosomal RNA". Lineage: Bacteria; Bacillati; Bacillota; Bacilli; Caryophanales; Caryophanaceae. The record is from RNAcentral.
GGUAGAUAGGUUCGGGGUGGAAGCACGGCGACGUGUGGAGCUGACGAAUACUAAUCGAUCGAGGACUUAACCAAAA